GUAGGGAAUCUUCCACAAUGGACGAAAGUCUGAUGGAGCAACGCCGCGUGAGUGAAGAAGGUCUUCGGAUCGUAAAACUCUGUUGUUAGAGAAGAACGUGCAUGAUAGUAACUGAUCAUGUAAUGACGGUAUCUAACCAGAAAGCCACGGCUAACUACGUGCCAGCAGCCGCGGUAAUACGUAGGUGGCAAGCGUUGUCCGGAUUUAUUGGGCGUAAAGGGAACGCAGGCGGUUUUUUAAGUCUGAUGUGAAAGCCUUCGGCUUAACCGAAGAAUAGCAUUGGAAACUGGAAGACUUGAGUGCAGAAGAGGAGAGUUGAAUUCCAUGUGUAGCGGUUAAAUGCGUAGAUAUAUGGAGGAACACCAGUGGCGAAAGCGGCUCUCUGGUCUGUAACUGACGCUGAGGUUCGAAAGCGUGGGUAGCAAACAGGAUUAGAAACCCGAGUAGUCC
RNAcentral lists this ribosomal RNA (450 nucleotides) under uncultured bacterium. RNAcentral's name for it is "partial 16S ribosomal RNA". It matches the Rfam family "Bacterial small subunit ribosomal RNA", at positions 354 to 796 of the family's 1533-position model. The record is from RNAcentral.